This 804-nucleotide long non-coding RNA is filed under the name Homo sapiens (human). RNAcentral describes it as "HSALNT0379228". The stretch from base 189 to 310 matches the Rfam family "Maternally expressed 8 exon 2". Lineage: Eukaryota; Metazoa; Chordata; Mammalia; Primates; Hominidae. The record is from RNAcentral.
CAAGCCCUUCAUUCUGCAGCUGAGGCUCACUGCCCCCAGUGGGCAGUGGGUCCAGGGGGUUUCUGAGGACAGGGCAUGACCCAGCCCUGCUGCCCCCAAGAUGGCACCUGGCUUGGAGGGGUGAGGGGCCCUGUUAGUCUGACUUUGAAGAAGACCAGCCUUCCAGACUCGCUUGGUGCCCUGACAGGAGCCCUGGGCUCCCCCAGUGUUGCCUGGGUCUGACUUUGCCUCAGUGAAAACUGCCUCGAAUUCUUUCUUGCACCGAUGGGCAGAUGGGCAGUGUCGGAGGAUCGUGUCAUCUGUCCCGUGGCGCUGGACUCGGCUUUUCCCCUGUGAAAUGGAGAUGAGAGUUUCUCCGUCACUGGCGUGAAGUGAGGACUAAAUGAGAUAAGUGUAGGCUUGCACACAUCAGACACUUCAUAAAUGCUUGUGGAGUAGACGGUGGGACCCAGGGAGGGAGAGAGAGGUAUGUAACAAGUGUCGCAAGAGAGAAAACAGCCUGGCCUUUCAAGACCCUGCUCCCAAUACAAACGGGAACCUCUCCUGGCAGAGUCCCCUCUGCUGGCUUAAUCGCACAAAUCAAGUCAGCCGGAGGCAGCCCCCGGCCUGUGGAACUCACAGUAGAUGCAGCAGGCAGCAUAAAUGACAUGCAGAGCCCACAUCUGCAUUUAAUAGACCGAGAAUUUGCAUUGUAUAUAACAGCACGAGGGGUAAAGCAUGAAGGCAUAAAGGAACAGUUUUUCCCGGCGGCUUCCUUGAAGGGCCAGCUUAGACAGGGGUCUGGGGAGGAGAAACUCAGCGGGG